Molecule: ribosomal RNA, 279 nt
Filed under: uncultured bacterium
Lineage: Bacteria
Description: partial 16S ribosomal RNA
Rfam family: Bacterial small subunit ribosomal RNA
Source: RNAcentral
UGCCAGCCGCCGCGGUAAUACGAAGGGAACUAGCGUUGUUCGGAAUAACUGGGCGUAAAGGGCGCGUAGGUGGUUAUAUGAGUUAGACGUGAAAGCCCCAGGCUUAACCUGGGAAUAGCGUUUAAUACUGUAUAACUAGAGUUUGGUAGAGGAAAGUGGAAUUCCUAGUGUAGAGGUGAAAUUCGUAGAUAUUAGGAGGAACACCAGAGGCGAAGGCGGCUUUCUGGACCAAUACUGACGCUGAGGCGCGAAAGCGUGGGGAGCAAACAGGAUUAGAUA